AGACAUUCGUUCUUCUAACGAAGUUUACUUAUACUACGUUAGAUUUUAGAAUGUCUUAGAUAAAUAAUGGGCUGCUUCACCCAGAAUUGCUCAAAAUGUGAAUUACAUUGUCUGGCUUUGCGGGUCCAUACAUUU
Molecule: small nucleolar RNA, 135 nt
Organism: Copidosoma floridanum
Lineage: Eukaryota; Metazoa; Arthropoda; Insecta; Hymenoptera; Encyrtidae
Product: small nucleolar RNA SNORA79
Source: RefSeq, a predicted model, not a curated record